GACAGAGGGUGCAAACGUUGCUCGGAAUCACUGGGCAUAAAGCGCACGUAGGCGGUUCACUAAGUCAGAUGUGAAAUCCCCCGGCUCAACCGGGGAACUGCAUCUGAUACUGGUGAGCUUGAGGGUGGCAGGGGUGGGCGGAACUCCAGGUGGAGCGGUGAAAUGCGUAGAUAUCUGGAGGAACACCGGAGGCGAAAGCGGCCCACUGGACCACAUCUGACGCUGAGGUGCGAAAGCUAGGGUAGCAAACGGGAUUAGAUACCCCGGUAGUCCUAGCCGUAAACGAUGGGCACUAGGCAAGGGAGGUACCUAUGUCCUUCCUUGCCGUAGCUAAUGUGUUAAGUGCCCCGCCUGGGGAGUACGCUCGCAAGGGUA
This 375-nucleotide ribosomal RNA is filed under the name uncultured prokaryote. RNAcentral describes it as "bacterial SSU rRNA". It matches the Rfam family "Bacterial small subunit ribosomal RNA", at positions 524 to 896 of the family's 1533-position model. The record is from RNAcentral.